Molecule: long non-coding RNA, 213 nt
Filed under: Elaeis guineensis (African oil palm)
Lineage: Eukaryota; Viridiplantae; Streptophyta; Magnoliopsida; Arecales; Arecaceae
Description: long non-coding RNA (EGUI_LNC010231)
Source: RNAcentral
GCCGCCAUGGCUAAUAAACUCUCAUCUAAGUAAUUAGCCUAAAGAAGCUCGAUACUUUCAACAGGAAGUUACGCCUAGGCCAUCGCCUUACAUCUCUCAAAGCCCAUGAAAAAUGCCAUCUUAUAGGCCUGAUUUAUAAUUUCAGCCGCUCUUUUCGUUAGACAUUUUUCUUCUCUUUCAGCAUUCUUGGUUAGAAGCUCCUAAUCUAUGAGC